UACAGAGGUCUCAAGCGUUGUUCAGAUUCAUUGGGCGUAAAGGGUGUGUAGGUGGCGCGCUAAGUCGGGUGUGAAAUUUCGGAGCUUAACUCCGAAACUGCAUUCGAUACUGGCGUGCUUGAGGACUGGAGAGGAGACUGGAAUUUACGGUGUAGCAGUGAAAUGCGUAGAUAUCGUAAGGAAGACCAGUGGCGAAGGCGGGUCUCUGGACAGUUCCUGACACUGAGACACGAAGGCCAGGGGAGCAAACGGG
Molecule: ribosomal RNA, 253 nt
Filed under: uncultured bacterium
Lineage: Bacteria
Description: partial 16S ribosomal RNA
Rfam family: Bacterial small subunit ribosomal RNA
Source: RNAcentral